RNAcentral lists this small nucleolar RNA (98 nucleotides) under Trifolium pratense (red clover). RNAcentral's name for it is "snoRNA snoZ103". It matches the Rfam family "Small nucleolar RNA Z103". Rfam says of the family: This family consists of several snoRNA Z103 sequences which are members of the C/D class of snoRNA which contain the C (UGAUGA) and D (CUGA) box motifs. This family seems to be found exclusively in plants. The record is from RNAcentral. Lineage: Eukaryota; Viridiplantae; Streptophyta; Magnoliopsida; Fabales; Fabaceae.
AUGGAUGUGAUGAUUAUUUCCCCAGAUGAUCGAAGCUGAACAUUCUGUGCGACUUUUUGUUUCUCUUUUGAGAUAUCAAGCCAAAUAAUCUGAUCCAU